RNAcentral lists this unclassified non-coding RNA (1627 nucleotides) under Schistocerca americana (American grasshopper). Its description in RNAcentral is "uncharacterized LOC124554212, transcript variant X2". The record is from RNAcentral. Lineage: Eukaryota; Metazoa; Arthropoda; Insecta; Orthoptera; Acrididae.
GAAGCAGUUCUCACUUUGUGUGUAACACGCAGUGAAAUUUUGAGAACAUAUGUAAUGGGAAAUAGCUACCAAUGAAGCCAAAGCAUUUCUUGCAGGGAAUUGAAAUUUGCUCACACGCCACUUGGAGCGCUGGCGCUGCAAGUUUUAUGUCGACUUGUUAUUGGUUGAUGUAUUGUAAGCAAUUUGUUUUCGCUUCGUUCAAAACAUCUGACAGCAGUUUAUACACCACGGACAGGGGCAAAUUUGUUAAUGUGAACUGCUUCUUGUGUGUAUCGUCUUAAUUAAAUUGCAUUUUAAGUGUGUUGCGGAUAUUCUGCUAAUUUUUUUAAAUGCACGAUGUUGAGUGAUGUAAAUAAUUCUCAUGUUUGUGUUUCUUUCGUUUUUGGAGUCGCAUGUAUUUGUUCCUGGUGACGAAGACCUGUGUGUCUAUUUCUCGAAUUAAUUGUGUUGUUUUACAGAAUUGGAAUUCAACUUUAUUACGUCUUGUCACGGAAUGAGUAUGUAACUCUGCAUUGAAUAUCGUCGUUUUUCACCAAUGAGUGUGCUGUGUUAUCUUAAUGAUAAAAUAAAUAGUUACUGUGACAGGAACUAUUGCACAGCAGACAUAUUCUACAUCAAGGUGCAAGCUUGUACUUGGUGUUUAGUGUGGACGUGCUUCACCAUGCUGAAUGCUUCUCCAUUUAAAUUUUUGAUUAUAAUAACAGACAAGUGAAGAUGGAUCAUACGGGAAAGAAAAAUUCUGGUUUAAGAUUGAAAUACUCAUGUAAGUUUCCUGGCUGUAGAAGUGGUUAUUUUUCAAAUAUAAACACGAACAUAAAACAUCAAAAUAGACAUUUUUACAAAUUCCCAGCUCCAUCAAAGAGUGAGCUGCUAAAACAGUGGAAACUAAUUUGUAAUAUAGCUGAAGACAUUGACUGUGGUUCUUAUUCUGUGUGUGAAAAUCAUUUUUUCCAAGCCGAUUUUGUAAACUUCUCUCGGCAUAGGCUAAAUCGUGGGGUUAUUCCGAAGCAUACGGAAUUGGUGGUAUACCACACGGAAACUACAGUGACUGGAGAGGCAUCUGUCAUUUUGCCGCCUAUUAAAAGAGAAAAUGAUGAGGAAACUGCUUCUCAUGAAACUGCUCCCCAGAAAACACAGUUAAAAACUAAAUUACAGGUCCUCGUAAAUCGCAUUGAUUCGUUGGAUAUGGAAACAGUGGGUACACUGGAAAAAGAAGUGGACCAUUGGCUGUCACACACUAAUUCUGGUUUCAGUAGGGAAGGUGCACAUUGUGCUAGCAAAGGAAAAGUGAAAGUGCAGGAAAUACCUGAUCAGAUUAAAAUCCAUAUAAAGAGCAUUAUAAGAAAACCAACUCUUGCUGAGAAGUCUAUUGUUGCAGAUCUAAUGAUGCAAUCUGACAAUGAUGUGUUGACUGUGCAUGUUGAUUCUGACCAUACGUACUGUACCAGUUGUUCUGAUCACACAUACUGUAAUAGUUGUUCUGAUCACACUUAUUGUAUAAAUAAAAACUGACUUUAUCUGUCCUCAAUUCUUGUGCAUGCAUGUGUGUCUAUCACGGUUUAUAGGCCUACUGGGGAAACUCGCCAUUUAAAAAAAAAAAAAGAGUAACACGUCAGGCUCUGUACCU